UGGGGAAUAUUGCACAAUGGACGGAAGUUUGAUGCAGCGACGCCGCGUGGAGGGUGUAGGCCUUCGGGUUGUGAACUCCUUUUUCUCGCGAAAAAGGCACAGUUUUGGUUGUGUUGAUGGUAGUGGGGGAAUAAGCGCCGGCUAACUACGUGCCAGCAGCCGCGGUAAUACGUAGGGCGCGAGCGUUGUCCGGAUUUAUUGGGGGUAAAGAGCUCGUAGGUGGUUCGUCGCAGCGGUCGUGAAAGCCAGCAGCUUAACUGUUGGGCUGCUGUGGGUGCGGGCGGGCUUGAGUGCGGUAGGGGUGACUGGAAUUCCUGGUGUAGCGGUAGAAUGCGCAGAAAUCAGGAGGAACACCGAUGGCGAAGGCAGGUCACUGGGCCGUUACUGACACUGAGGAGCGAAAGCGUGGGGAGCGAACAGG
This 421-nucleotide ribosomal RNA is filed under the name Fusobacteriota bacterium. RNAcentral's name for it is "Fusobacteria bacterium partial 16S ribosomal RNA". It matches the Rfam family "Bacterial small subunit ribosomal RNA", at positions 355 to 776 of the family's 1533-position model. The record is from RNAcentral. Lineage: Bacteria; Fusobacteriati; Fusobacteriota.